GUGAAACAGUGACCUCUGGUGGCCUGAGAGUUGCAACGUUUAGGAGGGUGUGAUUCGUGUGUCUGGAAUCCCUCUUGAUUACUCUCAGAGUGAACUCAUCAAAAUGGCAUCUCCGUUUGGUCACUAUGUUGAGGUUUUAAUGGCGACUGAGGUUUACACAACAACCUGUCUAGAAUGGAAGGCUUUACUGAUGUUUCCAACUGAAUUCUCAGCCGAGGAGAUGGUGAAGGUUUACUCUGCUAUCCCAGUUCACAUGAGACAGCAAAGUUUGGAGCUGGUGUCCCAAACUGUUGACUUUAGUUCACCUGUGUCAGUGUUUCAUGCUUUUGUGGGGCCAUCAUUGUCAAAUGGGCUGCUGACAGCUUUGGACCAUUUGCUGGUUGUAUGUAAUGUUCCCAAUCAGCCCAGUGCUGCUACAGGAGUGCUACGGCUGCUAAAGCCUUUUGGACAAAUUUUCAGAGCUCUGGUACUUCAUGGAAACAAGGUGGAUGUUGAUCAGUGCCUUGGGAACAAUAGCAGCAUCCAGAUGGUUUUAGAGAUGGAAUCCGCUUCUGUUGCUUUAUCUGUAUAUGAGUGGUCUCAAAAAAUUCCUUGUCUUUAUCACAACCAUCAUCUGUCCUUCCUCAGAGGAUGUAAUAUACAGAAAAAUACAUCUGAGGUCCAUUCAGCCUAAUAUCCUCACAGUUUUUUAGUCCCCUUAAGUAUUGUAUAUUUUCAUUAUCUUGUAAUAAAAUAAAAUGAAACAAGUUCAUAAGAAGUAUUAUUGUUUGUCUUUCUCCUUUUAUAAAAUCAUAUAUUUAUUGAGCAGCAG
This 811-nucleotide long non-coding RNA is filed under the name Sinocyclocheilus anshuiensis. RNAcentral describes it as "lncRNA (ENSSANG00000024100.1)". Lineage: Eukaryota; Metazoa; Chordata; Actinopteri; Cypriniformes; Cyprinidae. The record is from RNAcentral.